Molecule: ribosomal RNA, 294 nt
Filed under: uncultured bacterium
Lineage: Bacteria
Description: partial 16S ribosomal RNA
Rfam family: Archaeal small subunit ribosomal RNA
Source: RNAcentral
GUGUCCAGCAGCCGCGGUAAUACCGGCAGCCCAAGUGAUGGCCGCUGUUAUUGGGCCUAAAGCGUCCGUAGCCUGCUGUGUAAGUCCAUUGGGAAAUCGACGCGCUCAACGCGUCGGCGUCCGGUGGAAACUACACGACUUGGGGCCGAGAGACUUGACGGGUACGUCCGGGGUAGGAGUGAAAUCCUGUAAUCCUGGACGGACCACCGAUGGGGAAACCACGUCAAGAGACCGGACCCGACGGUGAGGGACGAAAGCCAGGGUCUCGAACCGGAUUAGAAACCCCAGUAGUCC